Molecule: long non-coding RNA, 376 nt
Filed under: Danio rerio (zebrafish)
Lineage: Eukaryota; Metazoa; Chordata; Actinopteri; Cypriniformes; Danionidae
Description: si:dkey-102m7.3, transcript variant 3 (si:dkey-102m7.3)
Source: RNAcentral
GCCUACUUCGACGAUGUGUGGAAGAAAUGAGCAUAAGAAAACCGAAAGGUUACAAGAAGGUGGCUGACUGGUUUGUGUUUAUAACCUGAUGAAGACCCUUUGGCUGCUGUAAUGUUGCACAAGACUCAUCUAGAGUACCUCAAUCUAGUGGUCUAGUGAAUUGAGAGGAAGAGGGUGUUGACUGUACUGUAAGAAGAGGUGAAAUCCCUGUAAAAAUCCUAGCGCAGGAAAAAAGUGUUGAAGAUCAGCCAGAAUGACGAUUCUCAAACGGUUCAAUGUGAAUGUAACAAGCGAAACUUCGACUGUGGUGUCAACUUAUCUGAAUGGAAUAUGAAUGUUCUUGUUUAAUUUUUAGUAAAUGAAUAUAAAGACCUGC